This is a long non-coding RNA of Erinaceus europaeus (western European hedgehog), 375 nucleotides long. RefSeq lists it as uncharacterized. Lineage: Eukaryota; Metazoa; Chordata; Mammalia; Eulipotyphla; Erinaceidae. The transcript has 3 exons. The record is from RefSeq and is a predicted model, not a curated record.
CAUCCAUCCAUCCGGCCAACCUACAGCACAGACAUUGUACAGAAGUAGUAAAGGAGGAACUGCCAAUGCCAACACCAAGGUGGAGAAGAGGGAGCAGGGAGGCAGCAGCAGCAGGAGGAAGAAAGCCUACACCACAUCUCUGGACUAAGGGACACCUGGGUGCCCAUUAGCACACGGAGAAGCCAGCAUGGGCCGAGUGAAGACCGCACAGUUUUCUCAGGAAGGUCAUGACUUAAGGCUCCACUUCAAGAUGGCGGCACCAGUGCAAGACAGUCCACAGUUCUCAGUGACCACCUGCCCCAGAGCAGCACCAUGGAGGAUGGCACUUGGCAGAGGACUCUACAGACGCCACAUCAGAAGAGAAGAAGCUGCACU